CCCUGUCUGGCAGCAUAUGCAUAACCCUGCAUCUACUGCUAAUUUAUGUUGAGCUACAAAAUACCAAGAUGACCCUCUGCUGCCGAACUGCCUGGGAAAGGGCAAUGGAAGUGAAGGGAUUAAAAGAAAAGAAAAGAAAAGAAAAGAAAAGAAAAAGGUUGGUUGUCGUCGAUGAUGUUGGUGGGAGUUGAAAAGAAGAAGGAUUCGAUUAGUAAAAACCGUUUCCUAUUAUACCAAAAAAAGGGAUGAAGAAAGUAUAUUUAUGGCGUCGGUUAAAAAAUGAGAGAGGAGAGAGGUUCAGAGGGAUCCAAGAGCAGCAGACAGUGGAGAGGUUUAAUGGCCGAGUCACGACGCGUAU
RNAcentral lists this unclassified non-coding RNA (358 nucleotides) under Hevea brasiliensis (rubber tree). The record is from RNAcentral. Lineage: Eukaryota; Viridiplantae; Streptophyta; Magnoliopsida; Malpighiales; Euphorbiaceae.